UACGGAGGAUCCGAGCGUUAUCCGGAUUUAUUGGGUUUAAAGGGUGCGUAGGCUGGGAAAUAAGUCAGCGGUGAAAGUUCAGGGCUUAACUUUGAAAUUGCCGUUGAAACUGUUUUUCUUGAGUAUAUUGGAAGUAGGCGGAAUGUGUAGUGUAGCGGUGAAAUGCAUAGAUAUUACACAGAACCCCGAUUGCGAAGGCAGCUUACUAUACUAUUACUGACGCUGAUGCACGAAAGCGUGGGGAUCAAACAGGAUUAGAUACCCUGGUAGUCCACGCUGUAAACGAUGAUAACUCGCUGUUUGCGAUAUACCGCAAGUGGCCAAGCGAAAGCGUUAAGUUAUCCACCUGGGGAGUACGCCGGCAACGGUGAA
Molecule: ribosomal RNA, 372 nt
Filed under: uncultured bacterium
Lineage: Bacteria
Description: bacterial SSU rRNA
Rfam family: Bacterial small subunit ribosomal RNA
Source: RNAcentral